GAUGAACGCUGGCGGCGUGCCUAACACAUGCAAGUCGAACGGAGAUUCCGGACGGACGUUUUCGGAUGGAAGCCUGUAAUUCUUAGUGGCGGACGGGUGAGUAACGCGUGGGCAACCUGCCCUAUACAGGGGGAUAGCAGCUGGAAACGGCUGGUAAGACCGCAUAAGUCGGCGAGACCGCAUGGUUUUGCCGGGAAAUGAGCAAUCAGGUAUAGGAUGGGCCCGCGUCCGAUUAGCCAGUUGGCAGGGUAAAAGCCUACCAAAGCAACGAUCGGUAGCCGGACUGAGAGGUCGGACGGCCACAUUGGGACUGAGACACGGCCCAAACUCCUACGGGAAGCAGCAGUGGGGGAUAGUGCACAAUGGAGGAAACUCUGAUGCAGCGACGCCGCGUGAGUGAAGAAGUAUUUCGGUAUGUAAAGCUCUAUCAGCAGGGAAGAUGAUGACGGUACCUGACUAAGAAGCCCCGGCUAACUACGUG
Molecule: ribosomal RNA, 481 nt
Filed under: uncultured bacterium
Lineage: Bacteria
Description: partial 16S ribosomal RNA
Rfam family: Bacterial small subunit ribosomal RNA
Source: RNAcentral